AGAUUGAACGCUGGCGGCAUGCCUUACACAUGCAAGUCGAACGGCAGCAUGACGUGUAGCAAUACACGUUGAUGGCGAGUGGCGAACGGGUGAGUAAUAUAUCGGAACGUGUCCCGUAGCGGGGGAUAACCUAUCGAAAGAUGGACUAAUACCGCAUACGCUCUACGGAGGAAAGCGGGGGUCGCAAGACCUCGCACUAUGGGAGCGGCCGAUAUCGGAUUAGCUAGUUGGCGGGUAAAGCCCACCAAGGCGACGAUCCGUAGCUGGUCUGAGAGGAUGAUCAGCCACACUGGAACUGAGACACGGUCCAGACUCCUACGGGAGGCAGCAGUGGGGUAAUUUUGGACAAGUGGGCGCGAAGCCUGAUCCAGCCAUGCCGCGUGAGUGAAGACGGCCGUUGGUUGUAAGUCUCGUUCGCGAGGAACGUAAGUGGUUCGUAGUUAAU
This 445-nucleotide ribosomal RNA is filed under the name uncultured soil bacterium. Its description in RNAcentral is "bacterial SSU rRNA". It matches the Rfam family "Bacterial small subunit ribosomal RNA", at positions 26 to 466 of the family's 1533-position model. The record is from RNAcentral.